AAUGUGAGCACUUUCAUGCUCGGAAAACUAUGGCCCUUUGGAAACAAUACGCCAUUUGAUAGGGUGCAAACUGGGCCCUCAUCAGAUGCAAACCCAAUGGAGAAAGGAAACGAAUCCUGAAUCUCGUACUCUCUAACACGAAAUAUGGGGCUGAGCAUCGCACAUUGAAGAGCACAUCCACGUGCAACACACUCACUAGCAUUUAUUGUCCUCCCCGGUUCUUUUCUGAAAACAGAAUUUAAAAUUCUUCCCAUAGCUGGAAUUCGAGAACCUGAUCCUACAAGCUCAAGAGUAUGAAUCCUUUCAGCAGUCAAACCAGAAUCAAGUAAAGCUUUACGACAAGGAAUGCUUAUCUUCUCCAACAAAUCUGAUGAAAGCUUCUCAAAGUCUUCUCUUUUGAUGAAACCUUUUACAUCUUUCUCAUCCAUUAAGCA
RNAcentral lists this unclassified non-coding RNA (434 nucleotides) under Hevea brasiliensis (rubber tree). Lineage: Eukaryota; Viridiplantae; Streptophyta; Magnoliopsida; Malpighiales; Euphorbiaceae. The record is from RNAcentral.